Molecule: long non-coding RNA, 164 nt
Organism: Xiphophorus couchianus (Monterrey platyfish)
Lineage: Eukaryota; Metazoa; Chordata; Actinopteri; Cyprinodontiformes; Poeciliidae
Exons: 3
Source: RefSeq, a predicted model, not a curated record
UGUAAUCUGUGUGUUUGUGUGUACACCACAAACACACUGUAUUGUUUACACAUAAUAUUACUGGUCCAGUUUUGUGAGCUUCACAAAUUGUCUAGCCAACUUGUAUUAAUGUCCCUCAAGAAAAUAUUUAAUAAUAAAAUCUUUUUUUGCAAUAAAAUCUCUUU